CAGCCGCCGCGGUAAUACCGGCGGCCCGAGUGGCGGUCACUAUUAUUGGGCUUAAAGCGUCCGUAGCCGGGUUGGGAAGUCCUCCGGGAAAUCUGGCCGCUUAACGGUCAGAAUGCCGGAGGAUACUCCCAGCCUAGGGAGCGGGAGAGGCCCAGGGGAUUCCCGGAGUAGGGGUGAAAUCCUAUAAUCCCGGGAGGACCACCUGUGGCGAAGGCGCUCGGCUGGAACGCGUCCGACGGUGAGGGACGAAGGCCAGGGGAGCAAACCGGAUUAGAUACCCGGGUAGUCCUGGCUGUAAACGAUGCGGACUUUGUGUCGGACAAGCUAUGAGCUUGUCCGGUGCCGGAGGGAAACCGUUAAGUCCGCCGCCUGGGGAGUACGGCCGCAAGGCUGAAACUUAAAGGAAUUGGCGGG
This 414-nucleotide ribosomal RNA is filed under the name uncultured microorganism. RNAcentral's name for it is "bacterial SSU rRNA". It matches the Rfam family "Archaeal small subunit ribosomal RNA", at positions 459 to 872 of the family's 1478-position model. The record is from RNAcentral.